This 606-nucleotide long non-coding RNA is filed under the name Felis catus (domestic cat). Its description in RNAcentral is "lncRNA (ENSFCAG00000052950.1)". Lineage: Eukaryota; Metazoa; Chordata; Mammalia; Carnivora; Felidae. The record is from RNAcentral.
GGAGUCCCAAUGCAUAGAAUUGUUGUGAACAGAUUUAACUACUGCGUAGUUUUGUGACCAAAUGUAAGAGUGACAACUAGGCAUUGAAACUCUCCAGGACAGAAAUGAGGAAACUACUCCAGAGAGCAUUUGGAGGCUUGAGAUCUCUCAGACCUGGAAGGACUCUUCCUAUAGAAAUAAUACAGGAUGCUCAGUUAAACUAGAACUCUGGAUAAACAAAUGCUUUCCUGCCCCUUGAGACUGAAUAAUUCGUUGCUGCGAAUUUUCUUCCACACAUUGAGGGAAGGAAUGAUUGAAGCUAACUCCUCAAACAGACUUCUGCCCAGAUGCACAGUACGUGUUGCCAAAGCCACAUGGUCAUCCCAUGGAUGUGAAAGGUCCUGUGGUCUUCAUGCUAUGGAUACUUAUGAAAAGACAGCAAAUGUGUAUCAAAUGGUGAAAAAUAUGUAAUAGGCAAUAUGCAUUUAUUCCACAAACCCAAUUCUCGAGGAAAACAUUCUUUGGCAAGCAGUCAAACAAUUUUAAUGUAAAAUUUAAUGCAAUAGGGGUGACAUAUUUUAGAACAAAUUAAUUAGAUUAGUGAAGUGAAAUGGCCUGAGUCAGAAC